GACGAACGCUGGCGGCGUGCCUAAUACAUGCAAGUUGAGCGCUGAAGGUUGUUACUUGUUCCGACUGGAUGAGCAGCGCACGGGUGAGUAACGCGUGGGGAAUCUGCCUUUGAGCGGGGGACAACAUUUGGAAACGAAUGCUAAUACCGCAUAAAAACUUUAAACACAAGUUUUAAGUUUGAAAGAUGCAAUUGCAUCACUCUAAUACUAUCUCCCGUUGUAUUAGCUAGGUGUUGAGCUAAAGGCUCACCAAGGCGAGGAUACAUAGCUUACCUUAGAGGGUGCUCGGCCCCAUUCGGACUGAGACACGGCACAAACUCCUACGAGAGGCAGCAGUAGCGAAUCUUAGGCAAUCGAAGCAAGUCGGACCAAACACCGGCGCGUGAGUGAAGAAGGCUUUCGGAUCGUGAAAAUCUGUUGGUAGAGAAGAACGUAGGUGAGAGUGGAACGCUCAUAAAGUGACGGUAACUACACAGGAAGGGACGGCUAACUACGUG
Molecule: ribosomal RNA, 497 nt
Filed under: uncultured bacterium
Lineage: Bacteria
Description: partial 16S ribosomal RNA
Rfam family: Bacterial small subunit ribosomal RNA
Source: RNAcentral